AAGCCUCUUUUUUUUCCGUCUCUCACUCUCUUUCUCUCCAGUCUCCAAGCGUCUGCCUCUCUCUCUCUCACACCAAAUUGGAUUGGGAAUCGAUGUCUUCUCACAAAAUUACCGGUGUUCUUCAGUCCUAGUGUGGAUUUUUGGCUAGAAAGUCCACGGUGUUCUUCAGUUUAUUUGCAAUUUGUCUUUCAUCUUCUCCCAUUUCGAUUUUGUAUAACCAGGUAUUUUUGUAUUUUGUAAAUUACAUGUGGGUUUUCACUUUAUUUUUGUGUUGUUUUGGAUAUUCUCUGUUGGAUUUGAGGUUUCUCUAUGUAUUUGUAGUUUUUUGGUUGAUUUGGGGUUUCUAUGUUGAUUAUAUGCAAUUUAUUAGCUUGAUUUCUCAAUAAACCUAGACUUUUCUGGCAUGCAAUCUUUUUUAUUGCCUCAAUAGUACUUUAAGAAUACAUUACUACUUCGUCGCUUCUUUCAUGUGGCAUGCAAUCUUCUUUAUUGCCUCAAUAACACUUUAAGAAUACAUUACUACUUCGUCGCUUCUUUCAUGUUCUGUCGCUGUGUUUUUUCAGUUUUGGUUAGUUUUUUCUCCAUUAUUUCUUUAAUUGCUGCACUGGUAUGCCUAAUUUUUGCUUAGAGAAGACAACAAAAUAAAUGUAAGCAGAUAGUGACACAUUCCUACUUGUUCUGCAUAUUCAAGCUCUGUUAUGGUACCAAAAAAAAAGAAGAAGAAAUUAUGUUAGUAGUCUAGUUGAAGGCAUCAGUAGUCUAGUUGAAGGCGUCAAUCAACUUAGUAACAGUUAAGUUACAAAAAGAUGUUACAAAUACUUGCUGUUCUUAAUCUAUAAUUCUAUUCUAACUAAAUUUUAUUUUAAGAGUUCAAUGAUUCAUAACUGGCAUACUACACAGGGUCACAGACAUCUGUUCUGGUUUGAUGCAAUUCUCUGUUGUUGCAAUGGCGAUCUUAAUUGUCCAUCGAGUCCUUGUAGCCACUGAUUUAGUAGUGGUAGAUGAGGUCUGUGUACAUAUGUGCUGUCAUGUUCAGGGAAUGAAGCAUGGCUUCUCCUUGUUUGUUGAAUUUGAACACACAUAAUCCUCCAUUAUUUAUAUCCACAGAACGAAACCUGAAUCAAUAUAAAAUUAGACCUGUCAACAAUAGUGGCUGAAGAAAUUACACAUAAUCCUCCAUUAUUUAUAUCUACUGAACGAAACCUGAAUCAAUAUAAAAUUAGACCUGUCAAUAAUAGUGGCUGAAGAAACCAUCUUUUAUAUGUACUACAAUUUAAUUGUAAGAAUAGAUUAAAGAAUACAUGUAAUUUUCAUAGUGACGAAAGAAAGUUUUGGUAUACGCUUGGGUUGAUUUUAAUAUCUGUAGGAACAUUUGGCUUGGCAGCUGUUAAAACUAAAGGGUUAUUUUAAUUUUCUGUGCGGAAUAUCAUUAGAGUUAAUCGUAUAGGGGAUAUGGGAAUAAGAUAACAAGACUCUUUU
This 1479-nucleotide long non-coding RNA is filed under the name Nicotiana benthamiana. Its description in RNAcentral is "long non-coding RNA (NBEN_LNC011065)". Lineage: Eukaryota; Viridiplantae; Streptophyta; Magnoliopsida; Solanales; Solanaceae. The record is from RNAcentral.